This 253-nucleotide ribosomal RNA is filed under the name uncultured bacterium. RNAcentral's name for it is "partial 16S ribosomal RNA". It matches the Rfam family "Bacterial small subunit ribosomal RNA", at positions 524 to 776 of the family's 1533-position model. The record is from RNAcentral.
UACGAAGGAGGCUAGCGUUGCUCGGAAUGACUGGGCGUAAAGGGCGCGUAGGCGGUUUGCACAGUCAGAUGUGAAAUUCCUGGGCUCAACCUGGGGGCUGCAUUUGAUACGUGUAGACUUGAGUGGGGAAGAGGGUCGUGGAAUUCCCAGUGUAGAGGUGAAAUUCGUAGAUAUUGGGAAGAACACCGGUGGCGAAGGCGGCGACCUGGUCCUUGACUGACGCUGAGGCGCGAAAGCGUGGGGAGCAAACAGG